CACGUAGUUAGCCGGUGCUUUUUCUGCAGGUACCGUCACUUUCGCUUCUUCCCUACUAAAAGAGGUUUACAACCCGAAGGCCUUCGUCCCUCACGCGGCGUUGCUGCAUCAGGCUUGCGCCCAUUAUGCAAUAUUCCCCACUGCUGCCUCCCGUAGGAGUCUGGGCCGUGUCUCAGUCCCAGUGUGGCCGGUCACCCUCUCAGGCCGGCUACCCGUCGUCGCCUUGGUGAGCCAUUACCUCACCAACAAGCUGAUAGGCCGCGAGUCCAUCUCAAACCGAUAAAUCUUUCCACCCACAGACGAUGCCGCCAUGGGUCAUAUUCGCUAUUAGACGCCGUUUCCAGCGCUUAUCCCGAAGUUUGAGGCAGGUUACUCACGUGUUACUCACCCGUUCGCCACUAAUCCACCCAGCAAGCUGGGCUUCAUCGUUCGACUUGCAUGUGUUAAGCACGCCGCCAGCGUUCGUCCUGUAGCCAGGAGUCAAACUCCUA
This 491-nucleotide ribosomal RNA is filed under the name uncultured Microbacteriaceae bacterium. Its description in RNAcentral is "partial 16S ribosomal RNA". Lineage: Bacteria; Bacillati; Actinomycetota; Actinomycetes; Micrococcales; Microbacteriaceae. The record is from RNAcentral.